This is a small nucleolar RNA of Lampris incognitus (smalleye Pacific opah), 137 nucleotides long. RefSeq annotates it as small nucleolar RNA SNORA47. The record is from RefSeq and is a predicted model, not a curated record. The transcript has a single exon. Lineage: Eukaryota; Metazoa; Chordata; Actinopteri; Lampriformes; Lampridae.
UGGAGGACUGAGAAGGUUUAGCAGCCUAUUUUAUGCUGUUAAAACUGGUUAUAACCUCCAAGAGAAUCACUGAACCAACACAACUUACUGGCUCUGUGUGACACACCAGUGCUGCUUGAUGUUUUGGUUAACACUGG